RNAcentral lists this long non-coding RNA (946 nucleotides) under Homo sapiens (human). RNAcentral describes it as "HSALNT0306965". The record is from RNAcentral. Lineage: Eukaryota; Metazoa; Chordata; Mammalia; Primates; Hominidae.
ACCGCAGCCGCGGUUCCCGCCCGCGCCUCUCCCUCCACACCUCCCCGCAAGCAGAGGGAGCCGGCUCCGGCCUUGGCCAGCCCAGAGACAGGCUCCCACAGUGCAGCGGCGGGCUGAAGGGCUCCUCAAGCACUGCCAGAGUGGACACCGAGGCCGAGGAGACGCCAAGAGCGAAAAUUUUUGUUUUCCAUGACUGCAAGAAAUACUGCUGAACAAGACAUUUCUUCAUCAUCCUUGAUGAAAGAUGAACAUUAAUAAUGCAGAUAGAAAUCAGGCCAAGUAAUGUUGAAGAGAAAACAAGGUCCAGUAGCACUACUUCCUUUUAGAAGAUAAGAAUAAACAGAUUUAAAAUGGCAAGCUCAAUAAUUUUACCCUAACAAAAAAUGAGUGAAACAAGCUUCUGGUUCAAGAGUUUCUUCAGGUUCCACUACGGGCUGUUCUUCUACAGGUGCGCCGAUGUCCACAGUGCUACCUUCUGAUGAGCUACUGCUUUCAUUCAGUUUCUGCUGACUUAAUAUGUGAGCUGACAGAAUGCAGAGACCACGUUGUAUAUGAAGCAUCCACUUUGCCUUGUACACCAGGGCAUUCAAUAACCACUUAAUAACUACAACCCUGAUGAUCCGAUUCACUACUAAAGUCUUCCGUGUUUAAAUUUUCAAAGUCAGAUUCUCCUACAGCAAUUGGUACAGUCACAGUAAGACUGGGGUUGUUUAUGAAUGACAUGUAAUCACUUUCAUCAAUAAUGUAUUUUUCAACACUGCUGCCAGUUCCUAUACCACUUGUAGUUCCAUUUACAUCUUUAAGAUAGUCAAGAUCUUUCCCAAUUUCUGCUGUAUGAUUGGACAUACAACUGUCUUUCUUGUUGUUUAGAUCAUCAAGUGGUUUAAUUUCAUCUAAAAUCUUUUGUUUCCUAAUGAAGGACUGUUGAAUAAAUUCAUAUAUUUUU